RNAcentral lists this ribosomal RNA (254 nucleotides) under uncultured bacterium. RNAcentral's name for it is "partial 16S ribosomal RNA". It matches the Rfam family "Bacterial small subunit ribosomal RNA", at positions 524 to 776 of the family's 1533-position model. The record is from RNAcentral.
UACGUAGGGGGCAAGCGUUACCCGGAUUCACUGGGCGUAAAGCGCGUGUAGGCGGCUGGCCAAGCGUGGUGUGAAAUCUCCGGGCUCAACCCGGAAACUGCACUGCGAACUGGCCUGGCUGGAGUGCAGGAGAGGGAUGCGGAAUUCACGGUGUAGCGGUGAAAUGCGUAGAUAUCAGGAGGAACACCGGUGGCGAAGGCGCCACUCUGGGCCGAAACUGACGCUGAGGAGCGAAAGCGUGGGUAGCAAACAGG